CUCACGUGCCUCUCCCUUUCACACAAAAGCCAUUGAAGAGCAAAUCCUUCAGUACAUUUCUUCAGAGCAACAUCACCCACACCGAACCCUUCAGUACAUUUCUUCUUCUCCAAUCUCACACCCCAUUCACGGCCUUUCUUCUCCGAUUUGCCUUUCGUUCUUCAUCCUUCACCCUUCCCACGACAACCCAUCCGACGAAGAAGAUCUCAAACGCCGCUCAACCUCAGGCACUGUGAACUCUGGCGACAACACCGCCAAACCGAGACCACCACACCACUUCAUUUGUGGUUUGUCUACUCACAGUAAGAUAGCACAUGAAUCACAAGAGGCAGAUGACAAAAUGUGGCCUCCCCAUGUAGAACAUAUCUUUAUUGAGAUUAUGUUAGAGGAACAACUUAAGGGUAAUAUGGAGAAUGGUGUCUUCAAGGGUCCUAUGUGGCAAUCAAUUACUGCCAAACUUAAUACACGGACCAGGAAAUCCUUUCCCCAUAAGAAAGUGGUUCAGAAGCACAAUAAGCUCCGACUAAAACAACGCAAGUAGAGCUAGUUGCUUAAGCACACAGGAUUGUGGUGGGACGAGCACACCCAAACAGUGACUGGUCCUGAUGAGGUUUGGGCGAAUGUGGUUGCAGCAAUUGUCAGGCAGCUAACUUACGGAAACAGGGAUGUCUAGACCAUGACAAGCUACAUCAGUUGUUUGCCCUUAGAACUGCAACUGGGAGCUUGCAGAUCUUUUCAAACACUCCUGCCCUGAACAGUGAUGAAAAGCGUGCCUUGAAGGAAGAACUUUCAAAUGCCAGUGCACCCACCUUUCUGGACGAUGACUAUUGCACUCCAAACUUUGAGAGUAUUCAUAGAUUGUGGAGGAUACUGAGGUUGAAGAGCCAAUCCAAAGGGCGGGAAAACGUCCAGUGUAGGAUGGAAGUGGCAAGAAUAAGAAGGUAUCCAAGAAAACGAAUAGGGUAAGUGACAUGACUGUGGCCUUAAAGGAGUACACCGCAAUGACAAAGGAGAGGUUUAGCGAAAAACAAGGUCACUUAUGGUGUCAGGAAAUGAAUGGUUAGGGGUAUUCCAACGAUAUGAUUUUGAUGAUGCUUACUUCAAUGACGUUGCAUCCAAUGAUGCCCGUGAAGAUAAUGACGAUGACUGGACGGAUUCAGAGUGUGAUAGUGAAGAAGAAGUAGAGUUCAAUUUAGUGAAUCCUAUAGUCAAGGAGAUGUAUGCGUACAUGCAGCGGCAUUUCGAUAAACAACUAAUGCAUACAAGUAUGUUGACCGGCAGUGUGUAUAUGGACAAACUCACUGAAGGUAAUCCACUUAAGUGUUACGAGAUGUAUCGCAUGACACGUGAGUUACUGGAUCAUUUAGUGGACGAGUUGGCUCGACAUGGUUAUUUGAGGGAUGGGCAAGGUGGGUGGAUGUCACCCAGGCAGUGGCCAUGUUAUUGUACAUACUUGGACAUAACACCUGCUAUAGAUGUGUUACAGAUAGGUUUCAGUACUUAACAGAAACCGUGUCCUGGCAUUUUCGUCAGGUGUUGUGGGUUAUCCACUCAUAUACGAAGCAUUUAAUUAAACCUGAUUCGAAUGUCAUGGGCCUCUCUGAACAUCUUCAAGUGAACAAGUACUGGCCAUGGUUUGAGAAAUGUGUAGGAGCAAUUGAUGGUACACAAGUGAGUGCUCGACCUCCUGCAAAUGCGACUUAGGCACAUAGGAGCCGCAAGAUUACUAUAACAACUAAUGUGCUGUGUGUGUUUAACAUGGACAUGUAGUUCACUUAUGUCCAUGUUGGGUGGGAGGGCAGCGCCAAUGACUCAAGGGUGCUCGAAGAAGCGAUUAGUAACCGAAAGUAUGGAUUCCCAUGGCCACCAAUAGGGUUAUAUUACUUGGUGGAUUCGGGCCUACCAAUUGGCACAAUUUUUUCCCCCUCACAAGUCAACUAGGUACCAUGCUCAGGAGUUCCGCUCAAGUAAUAGACGACCAACAUCAAAGAAAGAGUUGUACAACUAUAGGCACUCUUCCUUGCGGAUGGUUAUUGAGUGAUCUUUUGGAGUGCUAAAGGCCCGUUUCCCUAUUCUAAAUUUAAUGUCAAACUUUAAGCAAAGUAGACAACGUUACAUAAUUGUUAUGUGUUGUGCCCUUCACAAUUUCAUACGCAUUAACAACUGGGGCAAUGAACUAUUCACCACAUUAGGAGAUGACACACAGUCUGAAGAAGGUGAGUCCAAUAGCGAGGGAAAUGGCAAUGGAAAUACUGGAGUAUUAACUAGCUCAGCAACCCAAAGGCAUGUAAUGGAAAUGUCGGAUGAAGCGAAAAAACGCAUGGCCCAAUUUAGGGGUGAUAUCACUAACACAAUGUGGGCUGACUAUGUUGCCUAUGGCCAUUGACCUAUGAUGUUGCAUUGUAAACACUAUUCAUUUUGGAACUUAUUCACAUGGUAGCCUAUGUGAAGCAAUUAGCGCUUAUGUUAACGGAUGUAGGGAUUAGUUAUUUAUGUAAGAGUAUUGCGCUAUUUUGCAAUUGUAUGGACAACGCACAUAUGCAUGCUUCUAAUAUAUUAUCAGCAUUAGUAUUCGAUGAU
This is a long non-coding RNA of Quercus lobata, 2580 nucleotides long. RefSeq lists it as uncharacterized. The transcript is spliced from 6 exons. The record is from RefSeq and is a predicted model, not a curated record. Lineage: Eukaryota; Viridiplantae; Streptophyta; Magnoliopsida; Fagales; Fagaceae.